Molecule: unclassified non-coding RNA, 413 nt
Filed under: soil metagenome
Description: partial contains 5.8S ribosomal RNA, internal transcribed spacer 2, and large subunit ribosomal RNA
Rfam family: 5.8S ribosomal RNA (bases 1-120)
Source: RNAcentral
GAUGAAGAACGUAGCGAAAUGCGAUACGAAGUGUGAAUUGCAGAAUUCCGUGAACCAUCAAAUGUUUGAACGCAUAUUGCGCUCGAGGCUUCGGCCGAGAGCAUGUCUGCCUCAGCGUCGGUAUUACCCCUCGCUACUCAACCCCUGGUUGAUGCCUGCCUGCCUUUGCAGUUGGCUAGAAGCGGAUCUGGCUUUCCCAAUUGCCUUUGGUAGUUGGGUCAGCUGAAGCACAGAGGCUUGAGCAAGGACCCUUAUUGGGCUUCAACUGGAUAGGUAGAACUGGUCUUAGGACCAACUACACGAAUUUGUUGCUUGUGGUCUUUUGUCUGGAGGCCAGCAGGAAACCUUUAUACCUUCGACCUGAGCUCAGGCAAGAUUACCCGCUGAACUUAAGCAUAUCAAUAAGCGGAGGA